Molecule: long non-coding RNA, 1383 nt
Organism: Parus major (Great Tit)
Lineage: Eukaryota; Metazoa; Chordata; Aves; Passeriformes; Paridae
Exons: 2
Source: RefSeq, a predicted model, not a curated record
GGGGACUUCAGCCAUCAGGGCUCCGAGGAUGUUGUGGUGGAGCCAUGAAAAAUAAAAGCUGACAGAUAAAGCUGAAAGCAAAAAGAUACCUAUGUCAUUUUGGGCAAAAGCAGAGCUGUUGGCACCAUCCUGGUUAAAUUCUUGACGUGAUUAACUGCUUUUACUGCUCUGUCUCCUUUCUGUUUAUUUCAGAGAUCUGUCUGGGAAAGUGUGGUGCUUUAGGAUGGCUCCUCAUCCUCCUGGCAGCCAGGACUGCCUUUCAACAUCAACUGAAGGACCCACAGUAAGUACUGAAGAAUAGAAGAACUUCUGCAAUGGGCAUUGAUACUAAGACUGGGCACACCAGCAGUGCUGGGCUUGAAAUCUCUACACCACAAAAGAAGCAGCAUCUGCUGGGAUUGGCAGGUGGAAUUGCAGGUAGGACUGCAGAGAAACAUGCAUUUGGAAAAGGAUGCUGUGGCCCUUGAGAGGCCAUGCCCUGUGCAUUGUGCAGUCUUCACUUUGUACCUUCCUGACCUUGGGCUGGGAGCCCUGUGUAUCCCAACAAUUUUCUUACAGAGCUGUUUAAGAGACCAGCUCUGCUCUUGGCCUCAGUUUUCACCAGGUCAUCCCUGGAGAGUUCCAUACAUCCCCAUUUCCCAAUCUGACCUCAUGUCUGAGUGAAGCAGCCUGGUGCCUCAGUUCUGACAGGCUGAUCUCAGCAGUGGGGGUGGAUAGUGAGGAAAUGAUGCUCCUAGGAAGUGAAAGUCUGUACUCUGAUGGGGGGUUAGGUUUUCUUUUCCUACACCAAGAAAGUGAAAAGUCCUGUUUUGCAUAUAGCAAGCCUGCUUUUGGCUAAUGCACUUGCCAGAGAUUUGGAUAUUCCCCCAAGUACAAUCCCUGCUAAACAGAGAGUGCUACAGACAAGUUCUCCACAAUCACCAGUGCAGAUCCUUAAAAGCAACAAAAUCCAUAUUUUUCUGCUUGUAGGAAUUUUUCUAUCCCUUGUGACUUUUGGUUUCGCCGUAACGUUACAUGGAGGAGAUUAAAGGAAAAUGUUUCCUAGCUCCAGAAUUUCCCUUUGGGACCCCUAUUAACAAAAAAAGUCUUGUAGUUGUGAAACCUGUUGACUGGCUUUGCUGUGACAUAAAACAGGCACCUCCAGUUCUCUGGGUAUUCAGUAACAGUGUGAGUGCUUCUGAGAUUUGAGAUACUGUCAGCAAAAGCUUUUUUUAUAUCUGAGCUUCAUUUUUUUAUGAGAGCUGUGCCAAAGCAGCCUAUGCAUAAGAAGUAAUAUGUCCAUCUCCCCUUGAACUUUCAGGGUUAAUGUUUCACAACUUAAAAAGUUAAAAUAGCCCUUUGUUGUAAAACUACAUCCCUGGUAGAAAUAAACAUUUCUCUGGC